RNAcentral lists this long non-coding RNA (348 nucleotides) under Salmo trutta (river trout). Its description in RNAcentral is "lncRNA (ENSSTUG00000004929.1)". Lineage: Eukaryota; Metazoa; Chordata; Actinopteri; Salmoniformes; Salmonidae. The record is from RNAcentral.
GUGAAGGAAGUUGUCAAUGAAAUCAAAUAGACAGUGUCCAUCUAAGAUGGGAUGGUGAUUAUAGGAGUAGUUGCCAGGCAACUAGGGAGAGGAACCAUGGUGAUACUAAGGGAAGAGGAGGGAGAAACAAGGGGCGUCUGAUGAGGAGGACAGUGUCUUUAUGGAUAGUUCAACAUGUAUUGCAACAUUGUUUCCAUGUAAGUACACCAUGGUCUUGUAGGCUAACCCUUUGUACUGGGAGUAUACCCUGCAAAUAGCCUCCUCUCUUAUUUCUUAUUUUGUGUGUUUUUUAAAAUGUUCCAAAUUUUAAUUAGUUAAACUUUUUUGAUAUUGAGUACUGCACUGUUG